RNAcentral lists this non-coding RNA (780 nucleotides) under Thesaurus zaitsevi. The record is from RNAcentral. Lineage: Eukaryota; Metazoa; Arthropoda; Insecta; Coleoptera; Cucujidae.
AUAAAGUUUUAUUCUAGCUUGGAAAUUAAAUAUAAUUUUUAUUUAUAUAUAAAUUUUAGUGUGAAAGUUCAAUAAUUUUAAAUAAAUUAUUAAUGAAUGUAUUAGUAGUAAAUAAUUUUAAUAAUUAAGGAGACUUAGAAUUAGAAAUAAUUAAAAAUAUUAACAAAAUUUGUGCCAGCAGUUGCGGUUAUUCAAAUAAUAUAAUUUAAUUUAUUUAGUUUUAAUAAAUUUGAGUAUUAAUAAUUUUAAUUUAAGAUUUAUUAGGUGAAAUUUUAAAUUUUAUAAAAAAUUUAUGAUAAUUUAUGAAUUUGGGAAAUUUUAUUUUUAAACUAGGAUUAGAUACCCUAUUAUUUUUAAUGUAAAAGUGUGACUAGAUUAGUAUUAGGUAUGUUCUUGAAAAUUAAAGAAUUUGGCGGUAUUUUAGUCUAUUCAGAGGAAUCUGUUCUGUAAUUGAUGUUCCACGAUUAAAUUUACUUGUUUUUGUUAAUUUGUAUAUCGUCGUAGUUUGAAUAUUUUUUUAGAAUGUUAAUAUUCAAGAUUUUUGAUUUUAAAGAAAAUCAGAUCAAGGUGCAGUUUAUAAAUAAGUAGAAAUGGAUUACAAUAAAUUUAUUUAGAUGGAUGAUUUUUUUAAAAGAUUUUUGAAAUUGGAUUUGAGAGUAAUUUUUUUAUCUAACAAAAAUGAUUAUAGCUCUAAAAUAUGUACAUAUCGCCCGUCGCUUUCAUUACAAAGUGAAAUAAGUCGUAACAUAGUAGGCCUACUGGAAUGUGGGCCUAGAAAGA